This is a small nucleolar RNA of Scleropages formosus (Asian bonytongue), 218 nucleotides long. Its record names the gene U3. It matches the Rfam family "Small nucleolar RNA U3". From Rfam's summary of the family: Small nucleolar RNAs (snoRNAs) are involved in the processing and modification of rRNA in the nucleolus. There are two main classes of snoRNAs: the box C/D class, and the box H/ACA class. U3 snoRNA is a member of the box C/D class. Lineage: Eukaryota; Metazoa; Chordata; Actinopteri; Osteoglossiformes; Osteoglossidae. The record is from Ensembl.
AAGACUGUACUUUCAGGGAUCAUUUCUAUCGUCAUUGACUUGAGAAAGGAGCUUCAAAGAUGAUCGGUCAUGCUAACCAUGAGGAAGACAAGUGGUAUCUUUUUCUGAGCUUUAAGUUGGCAGUAAACACUGACAUUUGUCAGGUUCUUCACUGUUGUUGAUGGCUGUUUCAGUUACCAUUAUUCAAAACUGACUGAAAGGGACAUAUCCUGAGUGGU